RNAcentral lists this ribosomal RNA (468 nucleotides) under uncultured bacterium. Its description in RNAcentral is "partial 16S ribosomal RNA". It matches the Rfam family "Bacterial small subunit ribosomal RNA", at positions 28 to 507 of the family's 1533-position model. The record is from RNAcentral.
GACGAACGCUGGCGGCGUGCUUAACACAUGCAAGUCGAACGGAAAGGCCCUGCUUUUGUGGGGUGCUCGAGUGGCGAACGGGUGAGUAACACGUGAGUAACCUGCCCUUGACUUUGGGAUAACUUCAGGAAACUGGGGCUAAUACCGGAUAGGAGCUCCUGCUGCAUGGUGGGGGUUGGAAAGUUUCGGCGGUUGGGGAUGGACUCGCGGCUUAUCAGCUUGUUGGUGGGGUAGUGGCUUACCAAGGCUUUGACGGGUAGCCGGCCUGAGAGGGUGACCGGCCACAUUGGGACUGAGAUACGGCCCAGACUCCUACGGGAGGCAGCAGUGGGGAAUAUUGCACAAUGGGCGGAAGCCUGAUGCAGCAACGCCGCGUGCGGGAUGACGGCCUUCUGGUUGUAAACCGCCUUCGCCUGUGACGAAGCGUGAGUGACGGUAAUGGGUAAAGAAGCACCGGCUAACUACGUG